CUCAGUGCCCCCGAUCACAAUCUUUCCUAGGAUGGCUAAACCGGGCAGCGUUUGUUAUGAUUGUUAUGACAGCCAUGCAAGGACCAUCUACUUCCUAGGUUGAAACUUCCUCUUUUUUGCAGUGUCUCUCUCCCAGAACUCUCCAAAAAUAAACUCAGAAGCCUUCACAUAGCUCAUGACCUUGGUGGAUAAUUGAAUGCAGAGAAUGCGCUGGACCCAUUAUGGGCCAGAUCCAGAAGGAAGGUAACCCGGGCGCUGACCCACCACCACUAACCUCCCUGCCCCCAUCUUCUUCCUCUGGGCAGUCUCAGAUGAUCCCCGGGCACCUGUGGAGCCAUUUCCUCUGUAACCGGUCCAGCCCCAGCCUCUCCUGGGGAAACCUCCUCCUCAUCACUAAGAGGCAGCCUCCUGCUGUAGGUGAGAAUUCCCCUCUCUCACUGCCCAUUUGCUGUUGUUUAUUUUUUCCCUUUCUUGAAGGAGCAUUUCCUUCUCCCUGAUAACUUGAAAUUACCUGUGUCCUCCAGCCCUGGGACCAAGAUGGCAACCCACUUCCAUCUUGUCUAAUUGCGCAGCAAUGGGGCUCCCUUCCAGGUUGCUGGGAAAUUCUCCAAUCUGCAAAAAGCUUGAGCCUAAUUCCUCUGUCUUUUAAAAAUUGAAUCUGCGUUAUUGAUGUUUUAUCUACUGGGUAGGACGAUGAAUAGAGCCACAGACACUUAGUACUUGUGUGAUCCUGGGGGAGUCACUUCACCCUGCUUGUCUCAUUUGUAAAAUGAGCUGGAGAAGGAAAGGGCCGACCGCUCCAUCUUUGACAAGAACAGGGUCACAAAACAUUGUCUCAUGUGGCUCUUUUCAGGCCAGUUCCCAUGGUCUUGGGAUGGAGAGAGCCAUCUGCACCCAGAGAGAAGACUGUGGGACUGAGUGUGGACCCCACAGAGCAUUUUCACCUUUUGUUGUUGUUCACUUGUAUUUUGUUUUCUUCCUCUUUUUUUUCCUUUUUGAUCUGAUUUUUCUUGUGCAGAAUAAUUGUGGCAAUAUGUAUAUAGAAUGAUGUUUAACAUAUAAUGGAUUAUUUGUCUUCUAGGGGAGGGGUGGGGAGAACAAAAUGUGGAACACAAGGUUUUGCAAAGGUGAAUGUUGAAAAUUAUCUAUGCAUAUGUUUUGAAAAUAAAAAACUUAAAUUUUUUAAAAAACCCAACAUUGUCCCAUAUAAUACAUUUAGUAAUGCAGAUUCAAUUUUUAAGCAAAUCAUAUGCAUUUCCCUUAUCUUCAACCCCUCCCAGAGCUGGUUGACCAGCACAAUCCUAGACAGGAGAUAUCUACUCACCUACCUCUGGAUCAGGGCUUCUUAUACUUUUUGCACUUGCGUCUCUUUUUAUAUCCAAGGAAUUUUUACUAAACCCCAAGCAUAUAGGGAUAUAAAAUAGGUAUAAAAAUAAAAUUUAUAAUAAAUCAUAAAAAAUUUAUUUUAUGUUUUCGUGAUUGUACAUGUAUAACUUAUGUCUGAUUGUUUACCAUCUCAGGGAGAGGGGAGGGGAGGAAGGGAAGAAUAGAACUUGGAACUUCAAAUAAAAAUGUUUUAAAAUGAAAAAAAUAGAAAUUUAUUUUAAAACAAUUUUUGGUAUGCAUAUGAUUUUAUCAUUUAUUAAGGAGA
Sarcophilus harrisii (Tasmanian devil) is the source of this 1651-nucleotide long non-coding RNA. Lineage: Eukaryota; Metazoa; Chordata; Mammalia; Dasyuromorphia; Dasyuridae. The record is from Ensembl.